Molecule: ribosomal RNA, 253 nt
Filed under: uncultured bacterium
Lineage: Bacteria
Description: partial 16S ribosomal RNA
Rfam family: Bacterial small subunit ribosomal RNA
Source: RNAcentral
GACAGAGGAUGCAAGCGUUAUCCGGAAUGAUUGGGCGUAAAGCGUCUGUAGGUGGCUUUUCAAGUCCGCUGUCAAAUCCCAGGGCUCAACCUUGGAUAGGCGGUGGAAACUACCAAGCUGGAGUACAGUAGGGGCAGAGGGAAUUUCUGGUGGAGCGGUGAAAUGCAUUGAGAUCAGAAAGAACACCAACGGCGAAAGCACUCUGCUGGGCCGACACUGACACUGAGAGACGAAAGCUAGGGGAGCAAAUGGG